CAUAACGCAUGAGCCCGGCCGCUGCCCGGGAUCCCAGGGUCCCCACUCCUCACCGGCUGCUGGGCGCCGCCAUGUUGCUCUCCCGCCCCCUGCGGUGGGAGGGACUUCCUGCUCGUCACUUCCGGCUGGGGAUGCGUGGGAGGAAAGGGCGGCUGGGCUGGAACUGCGCAGCCCCCGCUGCCUGGGAGGUUUGUGAGCCCGAAGUACCCUCCGGGAACGCGAAAAGCACUGUGUGGAUACGACCUUCCGAGGGAAAAGCGGCGCGGACGGCAGCCUCGCGCCUGCAGGUCCCAGAAGGUGGCCGGCAUCCUCUGGCGUGCUGCAGGGCGGUCCGGGUGACCCGGCGAUGGCGAGGCUUGGCCGCGCUCAUCUCACUGACAUUCAGUGUUCCGUUUGGGACCCUUCGCGGUGGCUCCAGAGGCGAGAGGACUCGUGGCCAGGCCUCCGCCUUCCCCUCUGAUGAGUUCCACUCACGACGUAGCUGUCCUCGCGGGCAAAGGGAAGCCGGAGGGGCUGGAGGUGGGGGCGGGGACCGAUUCGCGGAAUGCCCCAGACGGAGAAGUUGCUUGUGCGUUGGGACACUGGCGUGGCGUGGGGUCUUCUGGACUUGGGACCUUGUUUGAGGCAGUUACUGUUCUUAACAGGAAAGACCACGUCCUUCCCUGCUGGCAGUAAUGCAGAUGAGGUGGCUGCGAAUGGAACAGCAUCUUGUACCACAGGGAGGUACAGGAGUGCAAAAAGCGUGGUGAAGGCUGGACAACAGCUGCUUGUGGAACAAGCAGCCCUAGGAAGCAGGCCUGAGAAUGUAAUUCUUGGAACUCAAGCAGCCACUGUGCAACUAUGAAGUCAUAAGCGUGAAGAUGGACACACUAAGGAAAGGAGAGUCACUGAGCCAAGUUAAGAGUAUCUUUCUGCCAACUUGCUGCUGCAGCAUAUUGUGAUGAUUAAGCUGUUUGGUGCACUGUUCAUUGCAUGUUGAGUGAUCAAUUUUAGUGAAUUUUCCAAAGCUGAACAAUCAAGGUUUGCUAAAAACAAGUGAUGUAGAGAAGUAAUUGGAAUCGCCAGUUACUCAAAAAAGGAUAAAUAUUUCAAAAAAAUUUAAUAUUGCACCUAAUUAUUGUGGAUUUAUGCCCUAUUAGUAUUUUUUAAAACAGUACAAAAAUAAACACC
Molecule: RNA transcript, 1170 nt
Organism: Octodon degus (degu)
Lineage: Eukaryota; Metazoa; Chordata; Mammalia; Rodentia; Octodontidae
Exons: 3
Source: RefSeq, a predicted model, not a curated record